This 301-nucleotide ribosomal RNA is filed under the name uncultured bacterium. Its description in RNAcentral is "partial 16S ribosomal RNA". It matches the Rfam family "Bacterial small subunit ribosomal RNA", at positions 509 to 807 of the family's 1533-position model. The record is from RNAcentral.
CAGCAGCCGCGGUAAUACGUAGGUGGCAAGCGUUGUCCGGAAUUAUUGGGCGUAAAGGGCUCGCAGGCGGUUUCUUAAGUCUGAUGUGAAAGCCCCCGGCUCAACCGGGGAGGGUCAUUGGAAACUGGGAAACUUGAGUGCAGAAGAGGAGAGUGGAAUUCCACGUGUAGCGGUGAAAUGCGUAGAGAUGUGGAGGAACACCAGUGGCGAAGGCGACUCUCUGGUCUGUAACUGACGCUGAGGAACGAAAGCGUGGGGAGCGAACAGGAUUAGAUACCCGUGUAGUCCCUGUCUCUUAUAC